RNAcentral lists this ribosomal RNA (301 nucleotides) under uncultured bacterium. Its description in RNAcentral is "partial 16S ribosomal RNA". It matches the Rfam family "Bacterial small subunit ribosomal RNA", at positions 509 to 807 of the family's 1533-position model. The record is from RNAcentral.
CAGCAGCCGCGGUAAUACGAAGGGUGCAAGCGUUACUCGGAAUUACUGGGCGUAAAGCGUGCGUAGGUGGUGGUUUAAGUCCGUUGUGAAAGCCCUGGGCUCAACCUGGGAAUUGCAGUGGAUACUGGGUCACUAGAGUGUGGUAGAGGAUAGUGGAAUUUCCGGUGUAGCAGUGAAAUGCGUAGAUAUCGGAAGGAACACCUGUGGCGAAAGCGGCUCACUGGACCAUAACUGACGCUGAUGCACGAAAGCUAGGGGAGCAAACAGGAUUAGAUACCCGCGUAGUCCCUGUCUCUUAUAC